Molecule: microRNA precursor, 105 nt
Filed under: Canis lupus familiaris (dog)
Lineage: Eukaryota; Metazoa; Chordata; Mammalia; Carnivora; Canidae
Also listed under: 1 other name
Description: mir-8834 microRNA precursor family
Rfam family: mir-8834 microRNA precursor family
Source: Rfam by way of RNAcentral
AGUAGGUACAACUGCAGUGACCCGGCCAGCUCUGGAGCCCUGGAUUCAGCCCCCGCAGGAAUUCCGGAGCUCUCCGUCUGCAGGGCCUGGAGGCUCCGGGGCGGG